This 253-nucleotide ribosomal RNA is filed under the name uncultured bacterium. RNAcentral describes it as "partial 16S ribosomal RNA". It matches the Rfam family "Bacterial small subunit ribosomal RNA", at positions 524 to 776 of the family's 1533-position model. The record is from RNAcentral.
GACGAACCGAGCGAACGUUGUUCGGAAUCACUGGGCUUAAAGGGCGCGUAGGCGGGUGCUCAAGUCCGGGGUGAAAUCCCACAGCUCAACUGUGGAACUGCCUCGGAUACUGGGCGUCUCGAGGGUGAUAGGGGUAUGCGGAACUAUCGGUGGAGCGGUGAAAUGCGUUGAUAUCGAUAGGAACUCCGGUGGCGAAGGCGGCAUACUGGAUCACUUCUGACGCUGAGGCGCGAAAGCCAGGGGAGCGAACGGG